GACGAACGCUGGCGGCGUGCCUAAUACAUGCAAGUUGAGCGCUGAAGGUUGGUACUUGUACCGACUGGAUGAGCAGCGAACGGGUGAGUAACGCGUGGGGAAUCUGCCUUUGAGCGGGGGACAACAUUUGGAAACGAAUGCUAAUACCGCAUAAAAACUUUAAACACAAGUUUUAAGUUUGAAAGAUGCAAUUGCAUCACUCAAAGAUGAUCCCGCGUUGUAUUAGCUAGUUGGUGAGGUAAAGGCUCACCAAGGCGAUGAUACAUAGCCGACCUGAGAGGGUGAUCGGCCACAUUGGGAUUGAGACACGGCCCAAACUCCUACGGGAGGCAGCAGUAGGGAAUUUUCGGCAAUGGACGAAAGUUUGCCCGGGCAACGCCGGGUGAUUGAAAAAGGUUUUCGGACCGUAAACCUCUGUUGGUAGAGAAGAACGUUGGUGAGAGGGGAAAGCUCAUCAAGUGACGGUAACUACCCAGAAAGGAACGGCUAACUACGU
RNAcentral lists this ribosomal RNA (496 nucleotides) under uncultured bacterium. RNAcentral's name for it is "partial 16S ribosomal RNA". It matches the Rfam family "Bacterial small subunit ribosomal RNA", at positions 28 to 506 of the family's 1533-position model. The record is from RNAcentral.